ACUGGGAUUAGAUACCCCACUAUGCUCAGCCAUAAACUUAGACGUUAUUAUACAAUAAACGUCCGCCAGGGUACUACGAGCAUUAGCUUAAAACCCAAAGGACUUGGCGGUGCCUCAGACCCCCCUAGAGGAGCCUGUUCUAGAACCGAUAACCCCCGUUAAACCUCACCACUUCUGGUCAUCCCCGCCUAUAUACCGCCGUCGUCAGCUUACCCUGUGAAGGACUAAUAGUAAGCAAAAUGAAUAUAAUCCAAAACGUCAGGUCGAGGUGUAGCGAACGAAGUGGGAAGAAAUGGGCUACAUUUUCUUUAAUAAGAAUAAUACGAAUAGCACUAUGAAAACUAGUGCUCGAAGGAGGAUUUAGCAGUAAAAAGGAAAUAGAGUGUCCUUUUGAACCCGGCUCUGAGGCGCGUACACACCGCCCGUCACUCUCCCCGCUAAAUAGCAACAAACGUUAUUAACAUAAAAGCACAGACAAGG
Molecule: ribosomal RNA, 480 nt
Filed under: Cobitis taenia (spined loach)
Lineage: Eukaryota; Metazoa; Chordata; Actinopteri; Cypriniformes; Cobitidae
Description: partial small subunit ribosomal RNA
Rfam family: Bacterial small subunit ribosomal RNA
Source: RNAcentral